Molecule: long non-coding RNA, 737 nt
Filed under: Acyrthosiphon pisum (pea aphid)
Lineage: Eukaryota; Metazoa; Arthropoda; Insecta; Hemiptera; Aphididae
Description: uncharacterized LOC103308874, transcript variant X1
Source: RNAcentral
UCGGGAGAGUUUACCACCGUCCAGUAUAUAUUUUUUUAUAAAAUCGAGAAGUCUAGUUGCAGUGUUAUCGUUAUUUCAUAAUGUGCAGAACGUUACGAAACGUUAUAAUAUAAUAAUAGAGUAGCUCUACUGUGAGUUUCCUCUUCACCGCCCUGUCACUGUUAAUUCUUCUCUCAAAUUUACUUAGUAUGGAUUAGACUGUUCAAAAUGGUGAUGGUAAAGGAUUGUCCAGAGUAUAAUAUUCUUUUCGAUGAUGAUUUUAAUAGUGAAUACUGUUGAACAUAAAAACGAUAAUAAUCUAUUCCUGUUUAUGUCUGUAUUCAGAAUAAUUGUUCUGAUGGGAAAUCAAUUACUACUUGCUCUUCAAAUAAUAAAAAUACUGUUAAACGUGCAAAUUGCAGUCUACCUACAUACUAAUGAAGAAAUUUCUGUGAUAAAUACAGUUCCUCAAUAAAUUCUAAUUUUCAAACAUUAUUUCAAUUACCUUCGCCUUCGUUCCAGUUCUGCGACAUUAAUAAUUCUUCAUGGUGCACCUCGAUGGUCUCCUCACAAAACACUCGGCCGACUAACAAUUUAAACACGAUCACCGUCUAUUGGUCCUGGAGGUUGAAGAGCGAUUUAAAUAAUACAAAUAAGAUAGUUCAAUAUAGAAAAUUGUGUAAAUGUGUACGUAAUAAGUGAUCAUUAGUGUGAGUGACUGUUUACAAAAUAAAUAGCUGAACGCUUCCUCAUUUUCA